Varroa destructor (honeybee mite) is the source of this 580-nucleotide long non-coding RNA. The record is from RefSeq and is a predicted model, not a curated record. Lineage: Eukaryota; Metazoa; Arthropoda; Arachnida; Mesostigmata; Varroidae.
GGCACAUCCUCUAGCCGAGGAGACACCUUAUUACCCAUAUACGCCACUGAAACAUAGCACCAUUAAGUUAGCAAAUCUCCUAGGCGGUGUUCUAAAUUUGAUGAUUAUGCCAAACUUACAAACAAGAUAGCCAGGGCGGGUCCUAAAGUACACGAGCUGCCUCGCUGUUGUAAGACGUCAGGAUGUCUGUAAACCCAGAGCCUCGUCAGUCUGCCCGGAACCGAUCGUCACGUGAUGGUCUAGACCGAUCUGUGUAUAAUGCAGAUAGCUGCCAUUGCUUGUUUUGACAGGUCGUCGCUAUACGAGAGAUCAACGAUGACCACAAUAAAGCGCUCAGCAGAGUUUCUCCAAUUUGAUCAUUCGUCUAUCUAUGGGUACGCAGGACGAAAAACACUAUUCAGUAAGUGGCUUUCUACAGGUACAAUUGCUGCGGACCUUUUGGAAGAACGGUCGUGAUCGCGCUGGGCUUUUUCCGAUGAAGUCUGCAAGUAACUACAUUAGUCGCCGACAGAAGCGGUAGCGCCACCACCAUCAGUAGGGAAGUAGAAUGCGCCGAUCCAACAGCGGUUUUAAGCACUGA